Molecule: ribosomal RNA, 424 nt
Filed under: uncultured bacterium
Lineage: Bacteria
Description: partial 16S ribosomal RNA
Rfam family: Bacterial small subunit ribosomal RNA
Source: RNAcentral
AAUAUUGGACAAUGGGCGAAAGCCUGAUCUAGCCAUGCCGCGUGUGUGAAGAAGGUCUUAGGUUUGUAAAGCACUUUAAGUAGAGAGACAGGGCCGUACGCUAAUACCUUGCUGUUUUGACGUUACCGACAGAAUAAGCACCGGCUAACUUCGUGCGAGCAGCCGCGGUAAUACGAAUGGUCCAAGCGUUAAUCGGAAUUACUGGGCGGAAAGCGCGCGUAGGUGGUUUGUUAAGUUGGAAGUGAAAGCCCCGGGCUCAACCUGGGAACUGCUUUCAAAACUGGCAAGCUAGAGUAUGGCAGAGGGUGGUGGAAUUUCCUGUGUAGCGGUGAAAUGCGUAGAUAUAGGAAGGAACACCAGUGGCGAAGGCGACUACCUGGACUGAUACUGACACUGAGGUGCGAAAGCGUGGGGAGCAAACAGG